This 402-nucleotide ribosomal RNA is filed under the name uncultured Bacteroides sp. RNAcentral describes it as "bacterial SSU rRNA". It matches the Rfam family "Bacterial small subunit ribosomal RNA", at positions 338 to 757 of the family's 1533-position model. Lineage: Bacteria; Pseudomonadati; Bacteroidota; Bacteroidia; Bacteroidales; Bacteroidaceae. The record is from RNAcentral.
CCUACGGGGGGCUGCAGUGGGGAAUAUUGGACAAUGGGGGAAACCCUGAUCCAGCAAUGCCGCUUGGGUGAAGAAGGUCUUCGGAUUGUAAAGCCCUUUCGGCGGGGACGAUGAUGACGGUACCCGCAGAAGAAGCCCCGGCUAACUUCGUGCCAGCAGCCGCGGUAAUACGAAGGGGGCUAGCGUUGCUCGGAAUGACUGGGCGUAAAGGGCGCGUAGGCGUAUUGAUCAGUCGGGCGUGAAAUUCCUGGGCUUAACCUGGGGGCUGCGUUCGAGACGGUUGGUCUAGAGUUUGGAAGAGGGUCGUGGAAUUCCCAGUGUAGAGGUGAAAUUCGUAGAUAUUGUGAAGAACACCGGUGGCGAAGGCGGCGACCUGGUCCUUGACUGACGCUGAGGCGCGAA